Molecule: ribosomal RNA, 220 nt
Filed under: uncultured bacterium
Lineage: Bacteria
Description: partial 16S ribosomal RNA
Rfam family: Bacterial small subunit ribosomal RNA
Source: RNAcentral
UAAUGUAUGGGGAUCUGCCCGAUAGAGGGGGGUAACUACUGGAAACGGUGGCUAAUACCGCAUAAUGUCUACGGACCAAAGCAGGGGCUCUUCGGACCUUGCACUAUCGGAUGAACCCAUAUGGGAUUAGCUAGUAGGUGGGGUAAAGGCUCACCUAGGCGACGAUCUCUAGCUGGUCUGAGAGGAUGAUCAGCCACACUGGGGCUGAGACACGGCCCAG